CCCACUCAGCCUCCCACAAAGGAAUCCUCAGAAAGAAUUGUCUGAUGUGUCUUCAACUGCCGCUAAAGCUGCCGCUGCAAACAAAUGCUGGCUUUUCUACACAAGUCCUGAUUGCCAAAGUGGCUACAGGGGUGCUGACCACGCCCUCUCAAUUAGUUAGGUAUUCGAAUCACCUGAUGAGAGAGAGCAAUUGAAACUACCUCUGCUGACAGCUGAACUGCAUCAGUUUAGCGACCCCUACUGCCUUUAAUGCCAUUUGCAAGAAUCCACCACGCCCGAAGAAAAAUCACUAGGGGGUUUCUCUCCGCUCUGUCAAUCAUCCGGUUACGCGCUGCGCAGCGCUGCAGAACCUGUGCACACUCACUCUCUUGGUCAAGACCAAGCUCAGGUCUUUGCAAUGAGGAGCUAGCAGCAGAAGCGUUUGAAAACACAGUGGAAGAGAAACGCCUAGCAUCCAAAAAACAGCCAACCUUCUUUGCCAGUAACUGCAUAUACGACAAAGACCCCGAGCAAAACUGAGCUAAAAGGAACGAAGCAGAUCGAGCAGAGAGAAAACCUGUGUAAACAUCGGAUCAGCGCUCCACAGAAGAGAGAGCUGUGAGAACUAAAGGAUUAACAAACGAUGUGUUCUGCUUGACCGGCUGCUUUGUGGUAGUCUUGCCUUUGGGGAGGCUGUUGAUGGCCCUGUCUGGGAUAGAGAGAGUUGUCUCUCUGAUGGUGGGGAUGUGGUGUCAAGACCAGGUCGUCUCCAAAACCCUUCACUUCACUCAAACACUUCAGGUCAACUGCAGAGCUGGAGUCCUUCUAUAAUAACAUCCUGAUGUACUGUAUGCCGGCAAGCGCUUUAGCAUCAGCCUUUCAGUCUAUGAAGCCAGAAUCUUACAUGCUAGCUCCGUCUACAACCACCAUGUCCACAGACCACCCAAAAGAAGACCUGAUGGCUCUUAUAUUAAAAAGGAUAAGACCACAGACCAGACACUUCCCCAGAGGUGAUGCCUUGGAUUAGCAUCCAGAUGAAUUAGGAAAAAAAUACUGCAACUAUGUUUAAACAUUAAAUUUGUAGAUCCAAAUACAUAAAUCUACCGGAGUAUUAUAAAUUUUCAACACACCUACUUUGUGUUUUAUUCUUGUGUAAAUUAAAG
Scophthalmus maximus (turbot) is the source of this 1142-nucleotide long non-coding RNA. RefSeq lists it as uncharacterized. The transcript is spliced from 3 exons. Lineage: Eukaryota; Metazoa; Chordata; Actinopteri; Pleuronectiformes; Scophthalmidae. The record is from RefSeq and is a predicted model, not a curated record.